GCCGGGUGUAGUGGUGUGCGCCUGUAAUCCCAGCUACUCAGGAAGCUGAGGCAGAAGAAUCGCAUGAACCUGGGAGGCGGAGGUUGCAGUGAGCAAAGAUCGCGCCACUGCACUCCAGCCCAGGUGACAAUGUGAGACUCGGUCUCAA
Molecule: unclassified non-coding RNA, 148 nt
Organism: Callithrix jacchus (white-tufted-ear marmoset)
Lineage: Eukaryota; Metazoa; Chordata; Mammalia; Primates; Cebidae
Rfam family: Metazoan signal recognition particle RNA
About the family: The signal recognition particle (SRP) is a universally conserved ribonucleoprotein. It is involved in the co-translational targeting of proteins to membranes.
Source: Ensembl